CCCAGACUCCUACGGGAGGCAGCAGUGGGGGAUAUUGCACAAUGGGGGAAACCCUGAUGCAGCAACGCCGCGUGAGUGAAGAAGUAUUUCGGUAUGUAAAGCUCUAUCAGCAGGGAAGAGAAUGACGGUACCUGACUAAGAAGCCCCGGCUAACUACGUGCCAGCAGCCGCGGUAAUACGUAGGGGGCGAGCGUUAUCCGGAUUUACUGGGUGUAAAGGGAGCGUAGACGGCUGGUCAAGUCUGAAGUGAAAGCCCGGGGCUUAACCCCGGAACGGCUUUGGAAACUGAGCAGCUAGAGUGCUGGAGAGGUAAGCGGAAUUCCUAGUGUAGCGGUGAAAUGCGUAGAUAUUAGGAGGAACACCAGUGGCGAAGGCGGCUUACUGGACAGUAACUGACGUUGAGGCUCGAAAGCGUGGGGAGCAAACAGGAUUAGAUACCCUGGUAU
RNAcentral lists this ribosomal RNA (446 nucleotides) under uncultured bacterium. RNAcentral describes it as "bacterial SSU rRNA". It matches the Rfam family "Bacterial small subunit ribosomal RNA", at positions 330 to 793 of the family's 1533-position model. The record is from RNAcentral.